AGCAGCCGCGGUAAUUCCAGCUCCAAUAGCGUAUAUUAAAGUUGUUGCAGUUAAAAAGCUCGUAGUUGAAUUUCGGGGUUAGUAGGUUGGUCGUGCCACUGGUACGUACUGGUCUCACUGACUCCUCCUUCCUGAUGAACUGUAAUGCCAUUAAUUUGGUGUUGCAGGGAAACUGGACUGUUACUUUGAAAAAAUUAGAGUGUUUAAAGCAAGCUAACGCUUGAAUACAUUAGCAUGGAAUAAUGAAAUAGGACGUUCGAUCCUAUUUUGUUGGUUUCUAGGAUUGACGUAAUGAUUAAUAGGGAUAGUUGGGGGCAUUAGUAUUCAAUUGUCAGAGGUGAAAUUCUUGGAUUUAUUGAAGACUAACUACUGCGAAAGCAUUUGCCAAGGAUGUUUUCAUUAAUCAAGAACGAAAGUUAGGGGAUCGAAGACGAUCAGAUACCGUCGUAGUCUUAACCAUAAACUAUGCCGACUAGGGAUCGGAUGAUGUUAAUUUUUAAUGACUCAUUCGGCGCCUUAC
This 520-nucleotide ribosomal RNA is filed under the name uncultured Glomus. RNAcentral describes it as "SSU rRNA". It matches the Rfam family "Eukaryotic small subunit ribosomal RNA", at positions 569 to 1091 of the family's 1831-position model. Lineage: Eukaryota; Fungi; Glomeromycota; Glomeromycetes; Glomerales; Glomeraceae. The record is from RNAcentral.